RNAcentral lists this ribosomal RNA (305 nucleotides) under uncultured bacterium. RNAcentral's name for it is "bacterial SSU rRNA". It matches the Rfam family "Bacterial small subunit ribosomal RNA", at positions 336 to 655 of the family's 1533-position model. The record is from RNAcentral.
CGCCUACGGGACGCAGCAGUGGGGGAUAUUGCACAAUGGGGGAAACCCUGAUGCAGCGACGCCGCGUGAGUGAAGACGGCCUUCGGGUUGUAAAGCUCUGUCAAUCGGGACGAAGAAGAUGACGGUACCGAUGAAGGAAGCUACGGCUAACUACGUGCCAGCAGCCGCGGUAAUACGUAGGUGGCGAGCGUUAUCCGGAAUGAUUGGGCGUAAAGGGUGCGCAGGCGGUCCUGCAAGUCUGGAGUGAAACGCAUGAGCUCAACUCAUGCAUGGCUUUGGAAACUGGAGGACUGGAGAGCAGGAGG